Molecule: long non-coding RNA, 688 nt
Organism: Capsicum annuum
Lineage: Eukaryota; Viridiplantae; Streptophyta; Magnoliopsida; Solanales; Solanaceae
Exons: 3
Source: RefSeq, a predicted model, not a curated record
AGGAACAUGAAGGUGUAGAUCCUGAUAGAAUUGAGUUCUACAAGCAUGCUCAUUACACAAGUGAAAAAGGAUGGUCAUCUGAAGAAGAUGAGACUAACUAUGUAAGAAAUUAAUAUUUUAGUAACAUACCAUUGCAUUUGUAUGAUGAAUAUUCUUCGUGUAUUUUUUUUUGUGUUAUUAUUUUAUGCAGAACAACAUGACAGAUUUAAAAGCUCUUUAUACUUCUGGAGUCUUGUAUGACUAUUGAUGAAAUUAUGGAUGAUGUGCUUGGUACAAAGUCGGGGUACAUAAAAGUUCUUGGUUAUGGUACUAAGCCUAAUACUACAAGGGCAACACAAAUGAGAAUGACAGUGUUAGAAAACUCCCUCAAAAAGGCAAAACAGAAAGCUGCUAGUGCCUAAAAUGAGUUACAAAAAUGAUUAAAUGCAGCUGAAACUAUGGUAGAAAGCCAGCAAUCACAGAUACAAGACCAGCAGUUGCAGAUUAAAGCAUUAAAUUUUCAGUUGAAUACUGUAGCAGCACGCCAAGAGAAAAUGCUUAAGAAAAUGCAGCUUCUUGUUAGUCCAUCACUGUCAAGCGGAGAAAGAAUUCCAUCAGAAUGCCAACUUUAGUCGGGCGCUGCUGCAAAAAAGGCAAUUCUUUCACUCUUAUAGGACCCAGGUAAUUAAUCUCUUAUGUUAUGCUCGGG